RNAcentral lists this RNase P RNA (328 nucleotides) under bovine gut metagenome. Its description in RNAcentral is "Bacterial RNase P class B". It matches the Rfam family "Bacterial RNase P class B". From Rfam's summary of the family: Ribonuclease P (RNase P) is a ubiquitous endoribonuclease, found in archaea, bacteria and eukarya as well as chloroplasts and mitochondria. Its best characterised activity is the generation of mature 5'-ends of tRNAs by cleaving the 5'-leader elements of precursor-tRNAs. Cellular RNase Ps are ribonucleoproteins. The record is from RNAcentral. RNAcentral also lists the same sequence under 1 other name.
GACAAACGCUGGGAAUCUUUGAGUUCCUUGAGGAAAGUCCUUGCUCGUACUAUCUGAGAUGAUAGUAGUGAUCGUAUAUAGGGAAUAAAUAACCUAUAGCAGUUUUUUAACUGACGGCAGUAUGAAUCUAAGUCUUUGAUAUGAGGAGUACUGAAGUGCCGCAGUGACGAUGCUUCUAGAAAUGGAAGAGUGAAACGUGGUAAACCCUGCGAACGAGAAACCCAAAAUUUGGUAGGGGAGUUUUGAAUUUUAGAAAUGAAUAAAAUCAAAGAGCAAUAUGCUAGAUAGAUGUUUGUCACCUAGAAAUAGGUACAGAACAAGGCUUAUA